Molecule: ribosomal RNA, 762 nt
Filed under: Klebsiella pneumoniae
Lineage: Bacteria; Pseudomonadati; Pseudomonadota; Gammaproteobacteria; Enterobacterales; Enterobacteriaceae
Description: bacterial SSU rRNA
Rfam family: Bacterial small subunit ribosomal RNA
Source: RNAcentral
GGGGGGCGGGGCCUAACCCUUGGCAAGGUCCGAGCGGUAGCACAGAGAAGCUUGCUCUCGGGUGACGAGCGGCGGACGGGUGAGUAAUGUCUGGGAAACUGCCUGAUGGAGGGGGAUAACUACUGGAAACGGUAGCUAAUACCGCAAACGUCGCAAGACCAAAGUGGGGGACCUUCGGGCCUCAGCCAUCAGAUGUGCCCAGAUGGGAUUAGCUAGUAGGUGGGGUAAUGGCUCACCUAGGCGACGAUCCCUAGCUGGUCUGAGAGGAUGACCAGCCACACUGGAACUGAGACACGGUCCAGACUCCUACGGGAGGCAGCAGUGGGGAAUAUUGCACAAUGGGCGCAAGCCUGAUGCAGCCAUGCCGCGUGUGUGAAGAAGGCCUUCGGGUUGUAAAGCACUUUCAGCGGGGAGGAAGGCGGUAAGGUUAAUAACCUUGUCGAUUGACGUUACCCGCAGAAGAAGCACCGGCUAACUCCGUGCCAGCAGCCGCGGUAAUACGGAGGGUGCAAGCGUUAAUCGGAAUUACUGGGCGUAAAGCGCACGCAGGCGGUCUGUCAAGUCGGAUGUGAAAUCCCCGGGCUCAACCUGGGAACUGCAUUCGAAACUGGCAGGCUAGAGUCUUGUAGAGGGGGGUAGAAUUCCAGGUGUAGCGGUGAAAUGCGUAGAGAUCUGGAGGGAAUACCGGUGGCGAAAGGCGGCCCCCUGGACAAAGACUGACGCUAGGUGCGAAAGCGUGGGGAGCAAACAGGAAUUAGAUAC